UACGUAGGUGGCAAGCGUUGUCCGGAAUUAUUGGGCGUAAAGCGCGCGCAGGCGGUCUUUUAAGUCUGAUGUGAAAUCUCGGGGCUCAACCCCGAGCGGCCAUUGGAAACUGGGAGACUUGAGUACAGAAGAGGAGAGUGGAAUUCCACGUGUAGCGGUGAAAUGCGUAGAUAUGUGGAGGAACACCAGUGGCGAAGGCGACUCUCUGGUCUGUAACUGACGCUGAGGCGCGAAAGCGUGGGGAGCAAACAGG
Molecule: ribosomal RNA, 253 nt
Filed under: uncultured bacterium
Lineage: Bacteria
Description: partial 16S ribosomal RNA
Rfam family: Bacterial small subunit ribosomal RNA
Source: RNAcentral